RNAcentral lists this transfer RNA (68 nucleotides) under Toromys rhipidurus (Peruvian armored tree-rat). Its description in RNAcentral is "tRNA-Phe". It matches the Rfam family "tRNA". From Rfam's summary of the family: Transfer RNA (tRNA) molecules are approximately 80 nucleotides in length. Their secondary structure includes four short double-helical elements and three loops (D, anti-codon, and T loops). The record is from RNAcentral. Lineage: Eukaryota; Metazoa; Chordata; Mammalia; Rodentia; Echimyidae.
GUUAAUGUAGCUUAUUGUUAAAGCAAAGCACUGAAAAUGCUUAGAAGAGUAAUUAUACUCCAUAAACA